UACGUAGGGCGCAAGCGUUAUCCGGAAUUAUUGGGCGUAAAGAGCUCGUAGGCGGUCUGUCGCGUCGAAUGUGAAAACCCGGGGCUCAACCCCGGGCCUGCAUUCGAUACGGGCAGACUAGAGUUCGGUAGGGGAGUCUGGAAUUCCUGGUGUAGCGGUGAAAUGCGCAGAUAUCAGGAGGAACACCGGUGGCGAAGGCGGGACUCUGGGCCGAUACUGACGCUGAGGAGCGAAAGCGUGGGGAGCAAACAGG
RNAcentral lists this ribosomal RNA (253 nucleotides) under uncultured bacterium. Its description in RNAcentral is "partial 16S ribosomal RNA". It matches the Rfam family "Bacterial small subunit ribosomal RNA", at positions 524 to 776 of the family's 1533-position model. The record is from RNAcentral.